RNAcentral lists this ribosomal RNA (1080 nucleotides) under Microbacterium sp. Its description in RNAcentral is "bacterial SSU rRNA". The record is from RNAcentral. Lineage: Bacteria; Bacillati; Actinomycetota; Actinomycetes; Micrococcales; Microbacteriaceae.
ACGSGASGCAGCAGUGGGGRAUAUUGCACAAKGGGCRCAAGCCUGAUGCAGCAACGCCGCGUGRGGGAUGACGGCCUUCGGGUUGUAAACCUYUUUUAGCAGGGAAGAAGCGAAAGUGACGGUACCUSCAGAAAAAGCGCCGGCUAACUACGUGCCAGCAGCCGCGGUAAUACGUAGGGCGCAAGCGUUAUCCGGAAUUAUUGGGCGUAAAGAGCUCGUAGGCGGUUUGUCGCGUCUGCUGUGAAAUCCCGAGGCUCAACCUCGGGCCUGCAGUGGGUACGGGCAGACUAGAGUGCGGUAGGGGAGAUUGGAAUUCCUGGUGUAGCGGUGGAAUGCGCAGAUAUCAGGAGGAACACCGAUGGCGAAGGCAGAUCUCUGGGCCGUAACUGACGCUGAGGAGCGAAAGGGUGGGGAGCAAACAGGCUUAGAUACCCUGGUAGUCCACCCCGUAAACGUUGGGAACUAGUUGUGGGGUCCAUUCCACGGAUUCCGUGACGCAGCUAACGCAUUAAGUUCCCCGCCUGGGGAGUACGGCCGCAAGGCUAAAACUCAAAGGAAUUGACGGGGACCCGCACAAGCGGCGGAGCAUGCGGAUUAAUUCGAUGCAACGCGAAGAACCUUACCAAGGCUUGACAUAUACGAGAACGGGCCAGAAAUGGUCAACUCUUUGGACACUCGUAAACAGGUGGUGCAUGGUUGUCGUCAGCUCGUGUCGUGAGAUGUUGGGUUAAGUCCCGCAACGAGCGCAACCCUCGUUCUAUGUUGCCAGCACGUAAUGGUGGGAACUCAUGGGAUACUGCCGGGGUCAACUCGGAGGAAGGUGGGGAUGACGUCAAAUCAUCAUGCCCCUUAUGUCUUGGGCUUCACGCAUGCUACAAUGGCCGGUACAAAGGGCUGCAAUACCGUGAGGUGGAGCGAAUCCCAAAAAGCCGGUCCCAGUUCGGAUUGAGGUCUGCAACUCGACCUCAUGAAGUCGGAGUCGCUAGUAAUCGCAGAUCAGCAACGCUGCGGUGAAUACGUUCCCGGGUCUUGUACACACCGCCCGUCAAGUCAUGAAAGUCGGUAACACCUGAAGCCGGU